AGGAUUAACGCUGGCGGCGUGCAUGAAACAUGCAAGUCGAGCGCGGUGUGAUGCGGGGUAACCCAAUUCACAUCUAGCGGCGAACGGGUGAGUAACACGUGAGCAACCUACCUUUGAGUUGGGGAUAGCCCUGCGAAAGCAGGAUUAAUACCCGAUGUGGUCACAACAGGACAUCCUGAUGUGAGUAAAGGCGCAAGCCGCUCAAUGACGGGCUCGCGGCCUAUUAGCUUGUUGGUGGGGUAACGGCCUACCAAGGCGAUGAUGGGUAGCUGGUCUGAGAGGACGAUCAGCCACACUGGGACUGAGACACGGCCCAGACUCCUACGGGAGGCAGCAGUUAGGAAUUUUCCGCAAUGGGCGAAAGCCUGACGGAGCAACGCCGCGUGAGUGAUGAAGACCUUCGGGUUGUAAAGCUCUGUCGGAGGGGAAGAACACAAUGACGGUACCCUCCAAGAAGCCCGGCUAACUACGCGCCAGCAGCCG
RNAcentral lists this ribosomal RNA (483 nucleotides) under uncultured bacterium. RNAcentral describes it as "SSU rRNA". It matches the Rfam family "Bacterial small subunit ribosomal RNA", at positions 26 to 517 of the family's 1533-position model. The record is from RNAcentral.